RNAcentral lists this ribosomal RNA (452 nucleotides) under uncultured bacterium. RNAcentral describes it as "bacterial SSU rRNA". It matches the Rfam family "Bacterial small subunit ribosomal RNA", at positions 29 to 524 of the family's 1533-position model. The record is from RNAcentral.
AACGAACGCUGGCGGCAUGCCUAACACAUGCAAGUCGAACGAGACCUUCGGGUCUAGUGGCGCACGGGUGCGUAACGCGUGGGAAUCUGCCCUUAGGUUCGGAAUAACUUCGGGAAACUGAAGCUAAUACCGGAUGAUGACGUAAGUCCAAAGAUUUAUCGCCUAAGGAUGAGCCCGCGUUGGAUUAGCUAGUUGGUGAGGUAAAGGCUCACCAAGGCGACGAUCCAUAGCUGGUCUGAGAGGAUGAUCAGCCACACUGGGACUGAGACACGGCCCAGACUCUUACGGGAGGCAGCAGUGGGGAAUAUUGGACAAUGGGCGAAAGCCUGAUCCAGCAAUGCCGCGUGAGUGAUGAAGGCCUUAGGGUUGUAAAGCUCUUUUUACCCCGGGAUGAUAAUGACAGUACCGGGAGAAUAAGCUCCGGCUAACUCCGUGCCAGCAGCCGCGGUAAU